Molecule: unclassified non-coding RNA, 348 nt
Filed under: soil metagenome
Description: partial contains 5.8S ribosomal RNA, internal transcribed spacer 2, and large subunit ribosomal RNA
Rfam family: 5.8S ribosomal RNA (bases 1-120)
Source: RNAcentral
GAUGAAGAACGUAGCGAAAUGCGAUAAGUAAUGUGAAUUGCAGAAUUCAGUGAAUCAUCGAAUCUUUGAACGCACAUUGCGCCCGCCAGUAUUCUGGCGGGCAUGCCUGUUCGAGCGUCAUUUCAACCCUCAUGCCCCUAGGGCGUGGUGUUGGGGAUCGGCCAAAGCCCGCGAGGGACGGCCGGCCCCUAAAUCUAGUGGCGGACCCGUCGUGGCCUCCUCUGCGAAGUAGUGAUAUUCCGCAUCGGAGAGCGAUGAGCCCCUGCCGUUAAACCCCCAACUUUCCAAGGUUGACCUCAGAUCAGGUAGGAAUACCCGCUGAACUUAAGCAUAUCAAUAAGCGGAGGA